RNAcentral lists this ribosomal RNA (252 nucleotides) under uncultured bacterium. Its description in RNAcentral is "partial 16S ribosomal RNA". It matches the Rfam family "Bacterial small subunit ribosomal RNA", at positions 524 to 776 of the family's 1533-position model. The record is from RNAcentral.
UACGUAGGGUGCGAGCGUUAAUCGGAAUUACUGGGCGUAAAGCGUGCGCAGGCGGUUCGUUGUGUCUGAUGUGAAAGCCCCGGGCUCAACCUGGGAAUGGCAUUGGAAACUGGCGAGCUAGAGUGUGGCAGAGGGGGGUGGAAUUCCGCGUGUAGCAGUGAAAUGCGUAGAUAUGCGGAGGAACACCGAUGGCGAAGGCAAUCCCCUGGGCCUGCACUGACGCUCAUGCACGAAAGCGUGGGAGCAAACAGG